GUGGUAAUGCCGGAUGCUCCAGUUGACCGCAUGGUCCUCUGGGAAAGCUUUUGCGGUAUGGGAUGGGGUCGCGUCCUAUCAGCUUGAUGGCGGGGUAACGGCCCACCAUGGCUUCGACGGGUAGCCGGCCUGAGAGGGCGACCGGCCACAUUGGGACUGAGAUACGGCCCAGACUCCUACGGGAGGCAGCAGUGGGGAAUAUUGCACAAUGGGCGCAAGCCUGAUGCAGCGACGCCGCGUGCGGGAUGACGGCCUUCGGGUUGUAAACCGCUUUUGACUGGGAGCAAGCCCUUCGGGGUGAGUGUACCUUUCGAAUAAGCACCGGCUAACUACGUGCCAGCAGCCGCGGUAAUACGUAGGGUGCAAGCGUUAUCCGGAAUUAUUGGGCGUAAAGGGCUCGUAGGCGGUUCGUCGCGUCCGGUGUGAAAGUCCAUCGCUUAACGGUGGAUCCGCGCCGGGUACGGGCGGGCUUGAGUGCGGUAGGGGAGACUGGAAUUCCCGGUGUAACGGUGGAAUGUGUAGAUAUCGGAAAAAAAACA
This 539-nucleotide ribosomal RNA is filed under the name Bifidobacterium adolescentis. RNAcentral's name for it is "partial 16S ribosomal RNA". It matches the Rfam family "Bacterial small subunit ribosomal RNA", at positions 160 to 710 of the family's 1533-position model. The record is from RNAcentral. Lineage: Bacteria; Bacillati; Actinomycetota; Actinomycetes; Bifidobacteriales; Bifidobacteriaceae.